UGAUGGAUGGACCCGCGGUGCAUUAGCUAGUUGGUGAGGUAACGGCUCACCAAGGCCACGAUGCAUAGCCGACCUGAGAGGGUGAUCGGCCACAUUGGGACUGAGACACGGCCCAAACUCCUACGGGAGGCAGCAGUAGGGAAUCUUCGGCAAUGGACGAAAGUCUGACCGAGCAACGCCGCGUGAGUGAAGAAGGUUUUCGGAUCGUAAAACUCUGUUGUUAGAGAAGAACAAGGAUGAGAGUAACUGUUCAUCCCUUGACGGUAUCUAACCAGAAAGCCACGGCUAACUACGUGCCAGCAGCCGCGGUAAUACGUAGGUGGCAAGCGUUGUCCGGAUUUAUUGGGCGUAAAGCGAGCGCAGGCGGUUUCUUAAGUCUGAUGUGAAAGCCCCCGGCUCAACCGGGGAGGGUCAUUGGAAACUGGGAGACUUGAGUGCAGAAGAGGAGAGUGGAAUUCCAUGUGUAGCGGUGAAAUGCGUAGAUAUAUGGAGGAACACCAGUGGCGAAGGCGGCUCUCUGGUCUGUAACUGACGCUGAGGCUCGAAAGCGUGGGGAGCAAACAGGAUUAGAUACCCUGGUAGUCCACGCCGUAAACGAUGAGUGCUAAGUGUUGGAGGGUUUCCGCCCUUCAGUGCUGCAGCUAACGCAUUAAGCACUCCGCCUGGGGAGUACGACCGCAAGGUUGAAACUCAAAGGAAUUGACGGGGGCCCGCACAAGCGGUGGAGCAUGUGGUUUAAUUCGAAGCAACGCGAAGAACCUUACCAGGUCUUGACAUCCUUUGACCACUCUAGAGAUAGAGCUUCCCCUUCGGGGGCAAAGUGACAGGUGGUGCAUGGUUGUCGUCAGCUCGUGUCGUGAGAUGUUGGGUUAAGUCCCGCAACGAGCGCAACCCUUAUUGUUAGUUGCCAUCAUUCAGUUGGGCACUCUAGCAAGACUGCCGGUGACAAACCGGAGGAAGGUGGGGAUGACGUCAAAUCAUCAUGCCCCUUAUGACCUGGGCUACACACGUGCUACAAUGGGAAGUACAACGAGUCGCGAAGUCGCGAGGCUAAGCUAAUCUCUUAAAGCUUCUCUCAGUUCGGAUUGCAGGCUGCAACUCGCCUGCAUGAAGCCGGAAUCGCUAGUAAUCGCGGAUCAGCACGCCGCGGUGAAUACGUUCCCGGGCCUUGUACACACCGCCCGUCACACCACGAGAGUUUGUAACACCCGAAGUCGGUGAGGUAACCUUUUGGAGCCAGCCGCCUAAGGUGGGAUAGAUGAUUGGGGUGAAGUCGUAACAAGGUAGCCGUAUCGGAAGGUGCGGCUGGGUCACCU
RNAcentral lists this ribosomal RNA (1316 nucleotides) under Enterococcus faecium EnGen0021. Its description in RNAcentral is "bacterial SSU rRNA". It matches the Rfam family "Bacterial small subunit ribosomal RNA", at positions 219 to 1528 of the family's 1533-position model. The record is from RNAcentral. Lineage: Bacteria; Bacillati; Bacillota; Bacilli; Lactobacillales; Enterococcaceae.